Molecule: non-coding RNA, 366 nt
Organism: Phodopus roborovskii (desert hamster)
Lineage: Eukaryota; Metazoa; Chordata; Mammalia; Rodentia; Cricetidae
Source: the annotation of a RefSeq genome assembly
AUGCCUCCCUGCAGCCUGCUCUGUGUGUUGAUGGCCUUGGCCUUCUCUGGAUCCAGUUUGGGUCAGAAAGUGACUCAGGUUCAGUCAAUGGCAAGCGCACAGGAGGGGGAAGAAGUCAACCUGGAGUGUUCAUACGAGACAACUCAGAACUUUUAUCACCUGUUUUGGUACAAGCAGCUUCUUAGUGGGGAGAUGAUUUUCCUUAUUCGCCAAAUUUCUUCUUCCACUCAGACUGAGAGUAAUGACCGCUACUCUGUCAUCUUCCAGAAAUCAGCCAAGUCCUUCAGCCUUGUCAUUUCAGCUUCAUGGAUACAAGAUUCGGUGACAUAUUUCUGUGCCCUCUGGGAAGGGACUCACAGUGCAUGA